RNAcentral lists this ribosomal RNA (279 nucleotides) under uncultured bacterium. Its description in RNAcentral is "partial 16S ribosomal RNA". It matches the Rfam family "Bacterial small subunit ribosomal RNA", at positions 506 to 784 of the family's 1533-position model. The record is from RNAcentral.
UGCCAGCCGCCGCGGUAAUACGGAGGGUGCAAGCGUUAAUCGGAAUUACUGGGCGUAAAGCGUGCGUAGGCGGCCCAUUAAGUCGGAUGUGAAAGCCCUGGGCUUAACCUGGGAAUGGCAUUCGAUACUGGUGCGCUAGAGUCUGAUAGAGGGUAGCGGAAUUCCGGGUGUAGCGGUGAAAUGCGUAGAGAUCCGGAGGAACACCUGUGGCGAAGGCGGCUUUCUGGACCGAUACUGACGCUGAGACGCGAAAGCGUGGGGAGCAAACAGGAUUAGAUA